Molecule: unclassified non-coding RNA, 379 nt
Filed under: uncultured Actinomycetes bacterium
Lineage: Bacteria; Bacillati; Actinomycetota; Actinomycetes
Description: uncultured actinobacterium contains 16S-23S intergenic spacer region
Source: RNAcentral
UCCGAGUUGACCCCGGCAGUCUCCUGUGAGUCCCCACCACCCCGAAGGGCGUGCUGGCAACACAGAAUAAGGGUUGCGCUCGUUGCGGGACUUAACCCAACAUUUCACAACACGAGCUGACGACAGCCAUGCACCACCUGUACACCACCAAAAGAAGCCCUAUCUCUAGAGCGGCACGGUGUAUGUCAAACCCAGGUAAGGUUCUUCGCGUUGCAUCGAAUUAAUCCGCAUGCUCCGCCGCUUGUGCGGGCCCCCGUCAAUUCCUUUGAGUUUUAGCCUCGCGGCCGUACUCCCCAGGCGGGGCGCUUAAUGCGUUUGCUGCGCCACCGACCGGCAUGCCGACCGACGGCUAGCACCCAUAGUUUACGGCGUGGACUAC